Long non-coding RNA from Magallana angulata, 576 nucleotides. RefSeq lists it as uncharacterized. NCBI's taxonomy places the organism in Eukaryota, Metazoa, Mollusca, Bivalvia, Ostreida, Ostreidae. The record is from RefSeq and is a predicted model, not a curated record. The transcript has 3 exons.
UGUUAAGGUGGAAGGCUACAUCGUCACAAACAUGUCUGACUUCCGUUCGAAACGCCAUUGUGUUCCGGAUUGAUAACAUUAUGUCGUGGUACAAAAUAGCUAUACACCGUUUAAUUGAACUCUUCUAACUAAGGAGACGAGAUAGGACUGAAAUCACCAAAACGCUUAGAAAAUAUGUCAAUUUUCUUCCUGAUUAAAGCUUUUAACUAACAUUGAUUAUCAGCUGUUUUGUACGGAAAACGUGGACUCUAAAUAAUAUACCGUUUCCCUGCUCUGCUGCUAUUGGCAAUACAUUUUUGUCAUGUCAUCUGCAACAGACGAUCAUACAUAUGUGGCGGAUUAUCGAUAUAGAUACAUCUAGGUAGCAAUAGCAGUGGAAGCCCGGAUUUGCAAGCAAAAUGAGGGAAAGACAGGAUUCUGAAAAGGAGCAUGUUUUUCAUUUCCACACAUGCAUGUGUAUCACUAUGGACAUCUAAUGUUUUUGUGGGAUUUUGUCCAGCAGUUUGCCUUAACAGAAUUUUUUUAUAUUUUAGUUUCAUAUUUAUGUGGAUUCCAAUAAAAAUCAUACAAACUUCA